CCGUACUAUCCGGAUAUCCUCAAUACUAGAGGUAUCAUCAUCACUCCUCAGCACUACACUAGCCAAAUAGGCUAUGCAACCCUUGCUGAUUAACUGCCUAGCUCGAGACGAGCUGAUCGUCAUCGCAAACAGCGAACUCUAGCAUCCUCUAAACACAACCUCCGUCUGCCCCUAUUCUCUAAAUAUAACUGUUUGAUUCUUACAAUCGAUAGU
Molecule: long non-coding RNA, 213 nt
Filed under: Ananas comosus (pineapple)
Lineage: Eukaryota; Viridiplantae; Streptophyta; Magnoliopsida; Poales; Bromeliaceae
Description: long non-coding RNA (ACOM_LNC015249)
Source: RNAcentral